UGCAAGUCGAGCGGCAGCGCGGGGGCAACCCUGGCGGCGAGCGGCGAACGGGUGAGUAAUACAUCGGAACGUGUCCCGUAGUGGGGGAUAGCCCGGCGAAAGCCGGAUUAAUACCGCAUAUGCUCUACGGAGGAAAGUGGGGGACUCGCAAGGGCCUCACGCUAUGGGAGCGGCCGAUGUCCGAUUAGCUUGUUGGCGGGGUAAUGGCCCACCAAGGCGACGAUCGGUAGCUGGUCUGAGAGGAUGAUCAGCCACACUGGGACUGAGACACGGCCCAGACUCCUACGGGAGGCAGCAGUGGGGAAUUUUGGACAAUGAGGGAAACCCUGAUCCAGCCAUGCCGCGUGCGGGAAGAAGGCCUUCGGGUUGUAAACCGCUUUUGGUCGGAAAGAAAAGGCGCACCCUAAUACGGGGCGUUCUUGACGGUACCGGCAGAAUAAGCACCGGCUAACUACGAGCCAGCAGCCGCGGUAAUACGUAGGGUGCGAGCGUUAAUCGGAUUUACUGGGCGUAAAGCGUGCGUAGGCGGUUUGUUAAGUCGGUUGUGAAAGCCCCGGGCUCAACCUGGGAAUUGCAGU
RNAcentral lists this ribosomal RNA (578 nucleotides) under uncultured beta proteobacterium. Its description in RNAcentral is "bacterial SSU rRNA". It matches the Rfam family "Bacterial small subunit ribosomal RNA", at positions 56 to 627 of the family's 1533-position model. Lineage: Bacteria; Pseudomonadati; Pseudomonadota; Betaproteobacteria. The record is from RNAcentral.